UAUGGGGUAUUGUGUGUAGAUUGAGUGGGAAAAACAAUUUAAUAAGGCUGUAAUGUAACAAAAUGUGGAGAAAGUCGAGGGGUCUGAAUACUUUCCGAAUGCACUGUGAUUUGUUUUUACAUGAUUGAUCGACCAUGGUUCAUGUUUUAUAGAAAUGUUGUUGUGUAUUAGUAGCUUUUUAUUCACGUUAAUAUAUUUCCUGGUGUGAACCCAUGACUGAGGUUGACAAAUAUUAUUGUAUUAAUCUGAAAAUGAUUCUCUCAAAACAGAACAGCGAUAUUUUCGUGGUUAUACUCAAAUCAGAAACAGGCUCUAAGAUCGUAGAAAAGAUUCCUAGACCAGUAGGACAUUCCUGGCAUGAAGAACAUCAGAAAUGAUUACCAUUCUAAAUCCCACCCAGAACAAGACCCGUAAUCCCUACCUCCCAAACCUAGUGUAUAUGCUGAAUUUGGAAAAUGAAUAAAAUAAGUGUUGUAUUAUUUGUUUUAAUUACAUUUAACAUAUGACAACAAAUCUAGCUGUAUAGAAAACACUGUCCUUUGUCAUUCAACAAAUUCUACAAGGUAACAAAGGUGUUUCUUUUCAGUUUUUUAUUGAAUGGAUACAUCUACAUAAAUCAGAGGCCUCGCAGUACAAAUACUUGCCCAAAAAAAGUUUUGAAAUUCAGCUAUUAUGAAAAACCUUGAUUAAACGAUCUCUGUACAUUCUGUGAGAUAUGUUGAGGAGCUGGAACAGAAGUCAGAAACAAGACGAGGCCCCAUCGCCACUCACAUACGCGUUAACCCCAUUCUCUAUUGACCCUCAAUACCUCCACCCUUUAAUACCGCCACCCAUGCAAACACACACACUCCAAACAGCCUUCACUUAUUCAUCAUCCAACAACCACCAUCUUCCACACACUCUCAAACACCUUUCAUUCAUACCUCUCCCUCAUACACGAUCUAGCUUGUGCUUCUCCACUGUUAACAGACUGAUGUCUUAGAGAGAAAACAAAUCUCUCCCUCGCUGAUCUAGGUAUGAAGCCUAAUUCGAUUUUUCGUAAAAAUAAAACAAAAACAGUCAAUCACAUUGAGAGACGGGAACAUUUAUAAUGUACAUAUAAUAUAAAUGUCAAUACUCUUGUCACACUGUCAUUGGCAUUAGAAAGAAUGGAUUUAAUGCAAUGGUGGUUCAAACGGAUUUCUCUUUUUUUAUUCAAGUGCUCUUGCUUGCUCUUUUUGGGUGGGACACAGACACAGCGAAGGUACUUUAUAUCUUAGGCAUCAUAGCCUAGGUACAUUAUAUACUAUAUAUCUUAGGCAUCAUAGCCUAGGUACAUUAUAUACUAUAUAUCUUAGGCACCAUAGCCUAGGUACUUUAUAUCUUAGUAAUGUUAUCUAAUAUAUAAAGUACCAAGGCAAAGACCUUUAUAUGAGUUGCAGCGUAGGUCUUCCUUUGCCAAGCACACAAAUAGGUAAAAAGGUGGUGUGACUAUUAUCCCAAUUAUCAACUCAAAAUUACAAAAUGGAUUUGCCUUUUAUUUAAUACGGCAGUGAUGCCCCAGCCUAGGGACAGUCAAUAAAGAAAUGUACAUUGUAGAUUGAGUCGUCAUGUAUCAUUUAUAGAAAUGUACAAUGUAGAUUAAAUCAUGUGUCAUUUGUUCAGAUCCACUGUUAGACUCCAAUGACAUUAGAUUCAUUCUAGAUGAUGAAAUAAAUAAACAUGAUGCUAGGACUGAU
Non-coding RNA from Oncorhynchus mykiss (rainbow trout), 1718 nucleotides. NCBI's taxonomy places the organism in Eukaryota, Metazoa, Chordata, Actinopteri, Salmoniformes, Salmonidae. The record is from RefSeq and is a predicted model, not a curated record.